This is a long non-coding RNA of Oncorhynchus keta (chum salmon), 1135 nucleotides long. RefSeq lists it as uncharacterized. Lineage: Eukaryota; Metazoa; Chordata; Actinopteri; Salmoniformes; Salmonidae. The transcript is spliced from 3 exons. The record is from RefSeq and is a predicted model, not a curated record.
UUUAGCAGGUCUAUAGUAUAAUGUGUUUUUAUGCUGGAUGUGAGUAAUUUAGCAGGUCUAUAGUAUAAUGUGUUUUUAUGCUGGAUGUGAGUAAUUUAGCAGGUCUAUAGUAUAAUGUGUUUUUAUGCUGGAUGUGAGUAAUUUAGCAGGUCUAUAGUAUCAUGUGUUUUUAUGCUGGAUGUGAGUAAUUUAGCAGGUUUAUAGUAUAAUGUGUUUUUAUGCUGGAUGUGAGUAAUUUAGCAGGACUAUAGUAUAAUGUGUUUUUAUGCUGGAUGUGAGUAAUUUAGCAGGUCUAUAGUAUAAUGUGUUUUUAUGCUGGAUGUGAGUAAUUUAGCAGGUCUAUAGUAUAAUGUGUUUUUAUGCUGGAUGUGAGUAAUUUAGCAGGUCUAUAGUAUAAUGUGUUUUUAGGCUGGAUGUGAGUAAUUUAGCAGGUCUAUAGUAUAAUGUGUUUUUAUGCUGGAUGUGAGUAAUUUAGCAGGUCUAUGGUAUAAUGUGUUUUUAUGCUGGAUGUGAGUAAUUUAGCAGGUCUAUAGUAUAAUGUGUUUUUAUGCUGGAUGUGAGUUAUUUAGCAGGUCUAUGGUAUAAUGUGUUUUUAUGCUGGAUGUAAUUUAGCAGGUCUAUAGUAUAAUGUGUUUUUAUGCUGGAUGUGAGUAAUUUAGCAGGUCUAUAGUAUAAUGUGUUUUUAUGCUGGAUGUGAGUAAUUUAGCAGGUCUAUAGUAUAAUGUGUUUUUAUGCUGGAUGUGAGUAAUUUAGCAGGUCUAUAGUAUAAUGUGUUUUUAUGCUGGAUGUGAGUAAUUUAGCAGGUCUAUAGUAUAAUGUGUUUUUAUGCUGGAUGUGAGUAAUUUAGCAGGUCUAUAGUAUAAUGUGUUUUUAUGCUGGAUGUGAGUAAUUUAGCAGGUCUAUAGUAUAAUGUGUUUUUAUGCUGGAUGUGAGUAAUUUAGCAGGUCUAUAGUAUCAUGUGUUUUUAUGCUGGAUGUGAGUAAUUUAGCAGGUCUAUAGUAUAAUGUGUUUUUAUGCUGGAUGUGAGUAAUUUAGCAGGUCUAUAGUAUAAUGUGUUUUUAUGCUGGAUGUGAGUAAUUUAGCAGGUCUAUAGUAUAAUGUGUUUUUAUGCUGGAUGUGAGUAAUUUAGCAGGUC